RNAcentral lists this long non-coding RNA (634 nucleotides) under Monodelphis domestica (gray short-tailed opossum). Its description in RNAcentral is "lncRNA (ENSMODG00000046992.1)". The record is from RNAcentral. Lineage: Eukaryota; Metazoa; Chordata; Mammalia; Didelphimorphia; Didelphidae.
AUUUGUAUAUAUCUGAUUUGUGUUCAUCCUGACUUUUUCUUGCCAAUGAACUUUAAUGACUCUGGAAGAGAGUGAGGUGGAUGACUGUGCAACUCUGCCUCAAUUAAAUCCCAAAGCUCCUGUUUACAAAGAUGGAAGAUGAAAGUAAUCUCUCCCAUCUGCAAAAUGGACAUAAUAAACCCCGUGGAUCACCCUCACUGCAGUUGAGUAAGGAAAAGUGCUAUCUGAACUGUUACUUCACUCAAUUCUGGAUUCAAACUACUAUAUUCAAAGUGAUUUUAAUAACAAUUUAAAAAAUUAAAUAAGUUAAUUUAACAAUUUCAGUUGAAUAAUUAAAUACAUUUUUAUUUUACUGAUGAUUUUAGUAAUUUUUAUUUAAUAAUAAGAGCUAACAUAUAUUUAGCACCUACUACAUAUUAGGCAUUGUGCUGAGUGCUUUACAAAUAUUUUCUUAUCUGAUCCUUACAACAAUCCUGGAAGGUAGGUGCUAUUAUUAUCCUGAUUUUAGAGUUGAAGAAACUGAGGCAGGCAGGCAUAACACAACUAGUAAGCAUGUGAGGUCACUUCUUUGUCACUGUUCUGUUUUAAUUGCCCCUAAAAUAAAGGCAUAACAUUACCUGGAAAAUGCUAUCUG